UGGGGAAUAUUGGACAAUGGGCGCAAGCCUGAUCCAGCCAUGCCGCGUGAGUGAUGAAGGCCCUAGGGUUGUAAAGCUCUUUCACCGGUGAAGAUAAUGACGGUAACCGGAGAAGAAGCCCCGGCUAACUUCGUGCCAGCAGCCGCGGUAAUACGAAGGGGGCUAGCGUUGUUCGGAUUUACUGGGCGUAAAGCGCACGUAGGCGGACUAUUAAGUCAGGGGUGAAAUCCCGGGGCUCAACCCCGGAACUGCCUUUGAUACUGGUAGUCUUGAGUUCGAGAGAGGUGAGUGGAAUUCCGCGUGUAGAGGUGAAAUUCGUAAAUAUUCGGAGGAACACCAGUGGCGAAGGCGGCUCACUGGCUCGAUACUGACGCUGAGGUGCGAAAGCGUGGGGAGCAAACAGG
Molecule: ribosomal RNA, 404 nt
Filed under: Actinomycetes bacterium
Lineage: Bacteria; Bacillati; Actinomycetota; Actinomycetes
Description: Actinobacteria bacterium partial 16S ribosomal RNA
Rfam family: Bacterial small subunit ribosomal RNA
Source: RNAcentral